This 462-nucleotide ribosomal RNA is filed under the name uncultured bacterium. RNAcentral describes it as "SSU rRNA". It matches the Rfam family "Bacterial small subunit ribosomal RNA", at positions 26 to 518 of the family's 1533-position model. The record is from RNAcentral.
AGGAUUAACGCUGGCGGCGUGCCUAACACAUGCAAGUCGAACGAGGUAGCAAUACCUAGUGGCAGACGGGUGAGUAACGCGUGGUCAACCUACCGUUGAGUGGGGGAUAACUAGCCGAAAGGUUAGCUAAUACCGCAUACGAGUCUCGGGGGCAUCCCUGGGCCUUAAAAGGAGCAAUCCGCUCGAUGACGGGACCGCGUCCCAUUAGCUAGAUGGUGGGGUAAUGGCCUACCAUGGCUCCGAUGGGUAGCUGGUUUGAGAGAGCGACCAGCCACACUGGGACUGAGAAACGGCCCAGACUCCUACGGGAGGCAGCAGUGAGGAAUUUUCCGCAAUGGGCGAAAGCCUGACGGAGCGACGCCGCGUGUGGGAAGAAGGCCUUCGGGUCGUAAACCACUGUCGAAGGGACGAUAAUGACGGUACCUUGGAGGAAGCCCCGGCUAACUACGCGCCAGCAGCCGC